AUGUAUGAUGUUGGAGUCACUGAGAGUAUGAACAGAACAAUCUUGAAGUCUGGAUGGUCAUCAUUUGUUGAUGCCAAUCAAAUAGAAGAGAACUAUUCAUUGAUGUUUCGAUACCUUGGAAAUGCCCGCUUUGAGGUUACAAUAUUUGAUUCCAAUGGUAAAGAGAAUACCUGGUGCUGUUCUGGGAUGAGAAAUGCCUCUGGUGUUCACAAGCCAAGCUCAUUUGAUGUUGAUAAUUCUAGUAGCCGUGGUGGUACUACUCAGUCUUCAGCAAGCGAAGGAUCAGAUUCAGAUGGAAGCCAGAAGGAAAGAUCUUAUUCUUCUGAAGAAUCGUCAGAAGACAAUCUGUCUAUAGACAAUCCAGUGGAGUCCGAUGAUGUUAGGAAUUAUUAUGUCUUAUCAGGGCAGUGCGAUCUUACAGAAGCACAGGAGUUGAAAUUACAUGCAUUUGUACAGAAGAUUGGACCGGAAAUCCCUAUGCUUGUUGUACUGAUGAAGAAGAGUAAUGUGAAACGCAAUGGUGAUCUGGUAAUACGUAAGGAUUAUGCACACAAGUACUUGCCAUGCAAAGAUACAAAUAUCAUACUCCAGGUGCCUAGGAAGAACAAGGUUUGGGAGUGCAAGUUCCGUAUCAGGCCAUCUGGCUCGACUGAUGCUGGUCGGCGCAACCUUUCUUUGGGCGACUUUGUUGGUGACAAUCGCAUUAGGGAGGGCGAUAUCUGCCUCUUUGAUCCAAUGACAAAUGCUAAGCAGAAAAGAUUCACAAUGACAGUCCACAUCCUUGGCAAAUUGAGUAGUGGUCAUUCCACUGGAAGAACAACUGACAUUGGCUCUAAUCGUGGAAGGAGAAGCACCAAGAUGGGCAGUGUUAAGACCAAACCACCUAUCAAUGGUGAGGAGUACUCUUCACAACAUGAAGAGUGUGGUGUAUCUGAUAAUUCUGAAGAAUGUUCUGAGCCUCCCUUCAUGUUGCCUCACAGAUCUUGUCUAACACCAGCACAGGAGAACAAAGUACUGGAGAAAAUUAAAGACAUUGAGUCAGACUCAGAAUUGCCCUUUUAUGUUGCUAUCAUGGGCAAGAUCAAUGUAUGUCGGGGCAGCAGCCAUUACAUUGACCCUCCCAUCCUGAACUUUGGGUUUCGGUAUGCGGCUAGGUAUCUUGGCGAGAAGUUUGCUGCUGGCCAUCAUGGUGGCAAGUGUAAUGCAAUCAACUUAGUACUUCAGCGGGAGGGGAAGAGCAGACCAUGGCCUACCAAGCUGCGAUAUACACAUGUCAUGCGAGCCUCGAGCCAGCAGAUGAGGGUUAUCAAAGGAUGGCCGUCUUUCGCCCGCGACAACCGCCUGCGGGAGGGGGACCUCUGCCUCUUCAAGCUGAUGGAGAACGAGGAGCAGUUGACGAUGAUGGUCUACAUCAUUCGCCGUGAGAAAUGUUAG
RNAcentral lists this ribosomal RNA (1434 nucleotides) under Triticum aestivum (bread wheat). RNAcentral's name for it is "partial small subunit ribosomal RNA". The record is from RNAcentral. Lineage: Eukaryota; Viridiplantae; Streptophyta; Magnoliopsida; Poales; Poaceae.